CCUCUGAACUCAGACUCUCUCCCAGUGAUCAUAGAACUAGAUUCCAAUUCAAAAUAUGAUCGUCCAAAUUAUCCUCUAUAUCUGACCAUCUCCUCCAAUUGGUAUUGAUCAUCUAGACUUAUCUGAAUGGCAACCUUAAUCUUUGCCUCCUAAUCAUCUGGAAUAGAGAUCUUCUUUGACUCUCUAGAGUAAUAGGAAGGUAGUUUUGCAGCUUGAUAGUCCACCUCCAUUCUCUUCUACUUUUUUCUUUCCUUCAUUACUUUGAAAUCAGCAAAGUGCUUCUUCAUCAACUGCUAGAUCUCUUAUGAGUAUUUCUGAUAUAUGGCUACAUCAGGAUAACCAUCAGUCAAGUACUACUUCAACCU
Molecule: long non-coding RNA, 365 nt
Filed under: Elaeis guineensis (African oil palm)
Lineage: Eukaryota; Viridiplantae; Streptophyta; Magnoliopsida; Arecales; Arecaceae
Description: long non-coding RNA (EGUI_LNC009348)
Source: RNAcentral